Zea mays is the source of this 1080-nucleotide long non-coding RNA. RefSeq lists it as uncharacterized. The transcript is spliced from 2 exons. NCBI's taxonomy places the organism in Eukaryota, Viridiplantae, Streptophyta, Magnoliopsida, Poales, Poaceae. The record is from RefSeq and is a predicted model, not a curated record.
CAUAUGCUUGCACUGCUUCUGGUGGAUGGCAGGAUGAGGGGGUAGCGGAGUGAGAUGAGGUCUGGUGCUCGACCUCCGUUCGUGCGGCUGGGGAUCGGCUGCGAUGAUAAAUACCUCUGCUUGGCCUUGGCCCCGCGCUCUGGAAGGAUGCUCGCGGCGCAGGCGCUUCCACGUCGCUGGGUUUCGAGCGCUUGGCCCUCGUUCGUGCUCUUGCUAGAGUCCGCCGGCGUGAGGUUAGCUGCAGAAGCACGUAGAAAGCACCCAGUUUUGGUGGUUUCUGAGAGAUUUUUUUUCUUGCUUCUGGAUUGUGGUCGAGUCGUUUUCAAGUACACUGAGACACAUUAUUUGCAGUUGCUUUCAGUUUCAGCUUGCAGGAUACAAAUAAUUGGUGAGCUUUACUGGUGAAGCAAGGAGCUCAUGGCGUACAGCUAUAUGUCUGCUGGAGUGCUGGCCGGAGCCGAGCUGGUGGCCUCGUGCGAAUUCUGGAUGAAUUUUGUACCACGAGGUUGGCUGGCGCCUGGCGGGCGGCGGUAGUGCAGUGCAGUGCAGUGCACGCGGCCGCCCGAUUCUCAGUCGGGCAAGGGACGGCGUCCAAUAAUGGCAGUCGAUUCGCGGCAGCUUUCAGCUACAGAACACCUCGAGCUACUGCCCUCGCCGUUUCUCCUGUCUCGUCUCCUCAUCAAUUGCAAAUGGUUGAUGGUCCAACGGAGACGACGCGCAUUCAUGGCGAGCGCUGUGGCCCAACCUCCAACUGCGCCAGCCGCGAGAGGGUCUUCAGCUCAUGACGACUAUGGAGGGCAGCAAAGAGGCAAAUGGUGGAAUGGUGGCUGGCGGGGUCUGUUCAGUUCACACGUCCCCGCCUCGCAACAGGCCGUCUGUCGUCGGACGCAGUGGUACAGCUAGAGCAAAUCGAAACGUUUGGCCCUUAGGUAUAAGGUUUUGUCACACGAGAGGUUCAAAUACAAUGUAAAUUUUGCUCUUACCAAUGCUUUGGCCACGCUCAUUUGUAUAGACUGUGGAGCUAUAUACCCUUCGACUAUUUAUCUUUGUUUAUACUUAACACUGACUCGCUCUCAUUAA